UAGGGAAUCUUCGGCAAUGGACGGAAGUCUGACCGAGCAACGCCGCGUGAUUGAAGAAGGUUUUCGGAUCGUAAAGCUCUGUUGUUAGAGAAGAACGUUGGUAGGAGUGGAAAAUCUACCAAGUGACGGUAACUAACCAGAAAGGGACGGCUAACUACGUGCCAGCAGCCGCGGUAAUACGUAGGUCACGAGCGUUGUCCGGAUUUAUUGGGCGUAAAGCGAGCGCAGGCGGUUCUUUAAGUCUGAAGUUAAAGGCAGUGGCUUAACCAUUGUACGCUUUGGAAACUGGAGGACUUGAGUGCAGAAGGGGAGAGUGGAAUUCCAUGUGUAGCGGUGAAAUGCGUAGAUAUAUGGAGGAACACCGGUGGCGAAAGCGGCUCUCUGGUCUGUAACUGACGCUGAGGCUCGAAAGCGUGGGGAGCAAACAGG
Molecule: ribosomal RNA, 429 nt
Filed under: Bacillota bacterium
Lineage: Bacteria; Bacillati; Bacillota
Description: Firmicutes bacterium partial 16S ribosomal RNA
Rfam family: Bacterial small subunit ribosomal RNA
Source: RNAcentral